RNAcentral lists this ribosomal RNA (253 nucleotides) under uncultured bacterium. RNAcentral describes it as "partial 16S ribosomal RNA". It matches the Rfam family "Bacterial small subunit ribosomal RNA", at positions 524 to 776 of the family's 1533-position model. The record is from RNAcentral.
UACGUAGGGUGCAAGCGUUAAUCGGAAUCAUUGGGCGUAAAGCGCACGUAGGUGGCUUGUUAAGUCGGGUGUGAAAUCCCUGGGCUCAACCCAGGAAGUGCACUCGAAACUGGCGAGCUUGAGUACUGAAGAGGGUCGCGGAAUUCCCGGUGUAGAGGUGAAAUUCGUAGAUAUCGGGAGGAACACCAGUGGCGAAGGCGGCGACCUGGGCAGAUACUGACACUGAGGUGCGAAAGCGUGGGGAGCAAACAGG